This 32-nucleotide non-coding RNA is filed under the name Mus musculus (house mouse). The record is from RNAcentral. Lineage: Eukaryota; Metazoa; Chordata; Mammalia; Rodentia; Muridae.
UGAACCUGUUACAAAUACAAAGUUUGGUGUUA